CUUGACCCCUGGCAGCACAAGUCCCCAUCCCGCCGGGGAGAGGAACACGGGCGGCGGGCGGGUGCGGGACCACGCAGCCCUUCGGGCGCCCGGGGCCAGCGAGCGACCGGCCGAUGCAAGGAGGGGGCUGAUCCAGACAAGGCGUCAUGCACACCCUCAACUCCCACUGAUGGCAGUAGGAACAGACAGUGCUCACAACAUGAUGGAAGACAACACACGGCAGAAUCAGGGUUUUACUGACAAGUUACGGAGAUUCUGCAGUACAAAUGAGCGAGUGCACAUUAGUUGCUACCCAUACCGCAAAUCUGAGGCAAGCAGCAAGGCUUUGGUUAAACAAACAAUGCAUUUAUUUAGCAACCUGCACAAAACGUUCUUAUCUGUCCUUUUAAAUAUAUUUAUUUUGAAAAGAUCAAAAAGAUAAAACUCAGAAAAGGACGUAUCACUGUACCCAAAAAUGGUUCUGUGCAGCACCCAUUUACAGAACAGCAUUACAUUCUUAUUUGAAACGUUGGAGAGUUUCAAGCUUUUAUUUUUCCAUUUUCCAAGGCGGGGGUGCACGGGAGAAUCUUCAGAACACAGGAUCAGCACCAUCUAUGGAAAGAACAACAGCCAAUUUAUGGGAAACAAGGAAUAACUUAAAAACAAAACCCACAUUAUUGUACAUUAAUCAUUCUGGAAUAUUCUGUUACCUGGCACAACUCUCAAGAUUGUACAUAGAACGCAAAGAAGUUCAUUUAAUGCAAUCUAAAUAAUAACCUAAUGUGGAUUUCAACAGUGCCAGUGAAAUCUUUUUCCGUAAACUGAGAAGGCCUUGAAUCAAAUAUAAGCUAAAAAUGGCAUAUAUAAGCUCUAAAGUAGCAAGGGCUAGUUUCUCAGGACACACUAGUUUUUGGGUGUGGUGCUGUCUCAGAUGAUGUGUCAUACCUGCUGACCAUCUUGUAUCACAUUGAUCUGCUUUCAGUGUUUAGAAUUUGAAGCUCUUCUCCUGCUUCUCCCUACACUCUUAUCUUAAGCCAGCAUAUAAACAUGAACUAAUUUGCAAAAUCAUUUCCUCACUAACACCAUGCCCUGAGCUAGGAGGUUACCAAAGGAAACCUUCAGCUUUCAUAGGAUAUGCCAAUCCGCUAGCAAAACAACGAUGAUGGGUCACAACUGCCUAAAGAGGAGAAUGCAAAUGUAACUCAAAGAGCUCCAACCAGGCCACAGAACGUCUAUGCACAGAGAGAAAUUUUUCUAUAUUCGUUACUGUUCCCUGAACUGCCUUAUAACCUCCAUAGAGCAUUUCUGUAGCACCUUGGCAUGCAAUGCAAUAAUUCUAGUCCUCACAAGACUCUCAGCUCACCAUACUGUCUUGUUUGUGAUUUCUUGGUGCUCAGGAUCUGAGCUGAGAAUUGCUGUCCUAAGGAAUUCAUCCUCAACUGCAGCCAAUCCAUCCAUUUUCACAAAUAUAAACCUAAACCUUUGUUCACAGUUCCAAUUGACCCCUUUUCUUGGGAAGAAAUUCACUCCAAUUUGAGAUACAGAUACAAAAGGGUUUUGGUCUUCUCCCCAGGGGUUCAAGGAGAAAAGCAAUUUAAUGUGCUUGUAACGGGAAGCACGGCUGAGUUCUAUUUAAUGGUGAAUAGAACAAGUAUUUUUCGUUAAAAAGAUAAUCCAAGAAUUUGCUGUCGAGAUUAAAAAUGCUGAAUAACGUUAGAAAACCCAAACCAAAGUAUUAAUGGAGUUUAUAAAAAAAAGGUUUAAAUGAGGAUCUGGGUGUGAAGUUGAAGUGCUGAGAGUUUGGGAUAAUCACCAUCCAGCCAAUCAGCUACCUGACUUGUGGUCACUUGCUAGUCCAGAGUUCCCCAAAUUGUGGGGGACGCCGGAACAUUUUGGGAGGCUGCAGCGGGGCCUGGGCCAGCCUCCCUAGGGAAGGAGUGCCACCCCGCUGAACCCCACCCCCAGUUGCUGGCCCCCACCGCAGCUCCGCUCCCGACCCAGGGCCAAGUUUGGGGACAAGAGUGGAACUGCAUGGGGCCGUGGGCUCAGCUGCAGGCCCCCACCAUGGCCUAGGCUGUGGCUCCACCCCUGCCCUCAGCCUCGGCCCCUCGCCAUGGCUCUGUUCCUGGCCCCACUCCCUGCCUAGAUACACCCCUACCUGGGGCCCCUUUACCCGUCCUUCCCACCCCCACGCUGGGAGCUGUGGAAGGUUGAUGGGGUAAGGGGGGUGCGACCCUGAAAAGUUUGGGGAUCACUGUGCUAGUGGGAUUCAUUGGUUAAAUACUAGACAUUAGAUAGUAAAUGGAAGCAUAACUCCUUUAUUUUAUUUUUUUCAUUUUUCUCCUUUUUUCCAGGUAGCACUACAAAGACAUUCAAAUAUUAAAGCCACGUUACAGGCCGUCCUUUAAACACACAUAAAAUAACCAAAUGAACUGUGUCAAGUGACCCUAGAACACAACGUUGUCAAAAUAAAAGUUCUUUAAAAGAAAAAAAA
Molecule: long non-coding RNA, 2473 nt
Organism: Chelonia mydas (Green sea turtle)
Lineage: Eukaryota; Metazoa; Chordata; Testudines; Cheloniidae
Exons: 2
Source: RefSeq, a predicted model, not a curated record